This 253-nucleotide ribosomal RNA is filed under the name uncultured bacterium. Its description in RNAcentral is "partial 16S ribosomal RNA". It matches the Rfam family "Bacterial small subunit ribosomal RNA", at positions 524 to 776 of the family's 1533-position model. The record is from RNAcentral.
UACGUAGGGUCCAAGCGUUGUCCGGAGUUACUAGGCGUAAAGCGCGCGCAGGCGGCGGUGCUGGCCCGGCGUGAAAGCCCCCGGCUCAACCGGGGAGGGUCGUCGGGGACCGCACCGCUUGAGGGCGGUAGGGGCUGGUGGAAUGCCUGGUGUAGUGGUGAAAUGCGUAGAGAUCAGGCGGAACACCCGUGGCGAAGGCGGCCAGCUGGGCCGUCCCUGACGCUGAGGCGCGAAGGCGUGGGGAGCGAACGGG